UGAGUUGGAGAUACAAAUGUUUGAGGAGCUGCUUCAACAACGGCAACACGGUAAUUCUCAAUACCACGUAGAACUCCUGAUUCCUCGGUGAACUUCUGGAGAACAUCGAGUCUUCCAUGUUCACUCCGCGCUUUUGAGGUGAAAUGACGCUCCUCAAAAACAUAAGGGUUCUCUUUUCUUCCCUCUUUCUCCUCUUCUCUUUCAUGAUGGUCUUUUUCAUACCUCAUUCGGCACCGUAGGCGACAAAGCGCUCUUCCUUCUCCAAAUAGCCACUCACAUGGGCUUUCACACAACUCCUGCAUUUUUUCAUCGCGACGUCCCGUUCCUCUUCCUUCUUCUUUUCGUCCUUCUCCUUUCCUCUCUUGCUCCUCUUUCUCCUUGUAAUACUUCUCACAUCGAUCCAAGCACUCUCUCUUCUGAUCCUCAUCAUAUUGACGUUGGCGUUUACAUUGGUCCUUGCACUGCUUCAGCUCUGGGUCUGUUGUAGCCAAAACCAAGCCAGCACAGAGAACCAAAAGGGAAAGGAGUAGAACAACUAAAGAAAACUUGCCUAGGACAGCCAUUGUACAGAAUUUGAUUCGUGCUUCUUUCUUGAUACAAGGAUUGGGGAAGGUUAUGGCGUUUUAUAGUGGGGCAAGUGAGAAAUGAAGAGGGAUUAGAACAGGCAAGGGAGUUGCAUGCAGGGGGACGAGUGUACUCCUAACGUGUCGAUCAUGCCCAGAACAUAAUGGCCGCGUAAUAGAAUGACGGUAGAUUGCAAGGACAAUUUUAUGUCCUACAGCUGAGAAGUGACAAAAGUUGAACGUUUGCGGAUUGAUCUUAAAGGCUAAUCGACGACACAUCCAUGUGUCUCGGACGUAGACUUAACGUGGCACUACUCUCCCAGACAAUAAAACCUAUGGUCAUUGUUAUCUCAAUUGGAUUUAAGUGAACGCUGUAAUACUAGACUUAGACCUAGAGAUAUAAACGUAAGACUAUUCAAAAAAUUAAAUUAUUCAAAUUUGAACUCAAUUUAUAUUAAUAUUAUUUGAUUUUAUUUGAAUUUAAUUAAAAAUUAAUUUAAAUUAUUUAAAUUUAUUUUAAACUCAAUUAUUACUUAAAUAAAAUUUUAAUUUUAAAUUCAAUUAUUAUUAUUAUUUAAAUAAAAUCUGAAUAAGUUUAGUCUUAUAUAUUUUAAUUAAUAAUUUAUAUAAAACAUAUUUUUUAUUUAAAAAAUUUAAUAUUUUUAAAAAAUAUUUAAAUUUUAAUGUUUAAAUAAAAUUAUAUAAAAAAUUUGAUAAAUAUUAUUAUAGAUAUAUUUUUAUAUUCAAUUAAUUAUUUAUAUAAGCGGAUUCGUCAAGUGUAUUUCUUAUACAUAAAAUUUGAAUUUAAUUCAAAUACGCAACGAGUAUUAUUUUUUAAAUUUAAAUCUAUUUCAAACCCGAUUAUAACUAUCCAAAUCUAUAAUGAUCCGAAAAUCGGACCGCUAUCGGCGCUAGAAUUCAGAUCGACUUAAAGUCGCCGGAACCCGUAACAAGCCUAUUAUAAAUCCUGUGUACCUAAUAAAAUCUCAUACAUAAUCAUACAUUUUCAUAAUCAUUUUAAAUUUUUCAUAUACCAAGCUCAACCUAUGCAUUCAUUAUAAACUGUAUACAUAAAACUCAUACUAGAACUCUCAUCAAAUGCUCUAGUAUGGUCAUCAUCAUAUACAUCAAACUUGGUUUAACAUAACUCAUCAUUUAAAACUUUUAUAUCAUAUUCAUGUUCACUGGGAUUUUCAAAAACAUAAACUAGGGUAAAACACAAAUCUAUCCAUUACAUAUUACAUGUCCACCAUUAUACUAAUACAUUAACAUAUACUAGCCUCUAGCCGACCUCUCGAACUAAUCUUGACCCUGCAAACUUAGGGUUAGGGGAAAGGGAUAUAAGCUACAAGAGCCUAGUGAGCAGAACAGUAAAAACAGUUUAAAAACAUAUGCUCACAUGAAAUGCAUCACAGCACAAACAAAUCACCUUAAGAUGGACUUGUCACUAGUAACCCUCUACAUAAUCCAAUGUGCCCGGCCCACAACGAGAGCUCCUCAGGACUUUCGCUUAAACAUAACAUAACAUAUCCAACUGUGCCAGGGGCGUAGAAUGGACAGCCCUGGUCUUUCCCUUACAUAGUGCCAGGGCGCGUAGAAUGGGAAACCCUGGUCUUCCGUAUCCGUAUCAUAUCAUAACCUGCUCGAGGGCUAGUGGGUCAUUCAACAUUCAUCCACAUCAACAAUAAAUUAUGCAAUGCAUCAAUAAUAAACAUGGCAUUCGUGAUGCAUGAACAUACUCAAAAGUUUGAUUACUUAAAAACGAUAAAUUAGUUUAGUUCUACUCACCUCUGGCUGACGCUUAAUUGACAAAGGAGCAGCUGACUCACUGCUGGCUUCUACGGUCUCUCGGGUCCAAACCUACACAGGUGGACUCAAAUGAGGGGCCAAACAUAACUCUAUCAAGACUCUAAAUAACUCCCCAAAAACCCCCUAAAACAUCACAAAUCAUGCAUAUAAAACAAGCAAAGGAAGGCUGGGCAGAGGACUUUCGGCGGCAGGUUCGGCGGCCAAAGGUCUCCACAGAUCCGAAAGUCGGGGUCCUUCGGGGGCAGGUUAGGCGGCCGAAGGUCCUCCACAAAUUCGAAAGUCAGGGAAUUUCAGGGGCGGGUUCGGCGGCCGAAACUCCCAUCCAGAUCCGAAAGUGCAUGCUUUCGGGGGCAUGUUAGGCGGCCAAAAGGCUGCCUCCCAUGCAAGUUCGGCGGCCGAACCCUGCUUUCGCGGCAGAACCUGGGUUCGCCAAAAUGACAGAACCCGAUUCUGCCUCAUGCAUUUCAAUCCCAAAACUCUCAAAUCCUCACACCCAACUUCCCACAACAUGCAUACUCACUCCAACCUGCAUAAGGGGCAUAAAAACUAACUUAAGCCCCAACAAAAACAACAAAAGCAUCACAUAAGCAUACAUUCAUCAAAAACCCAACUCAAAGCCUAUAACUCUAGAUCCAACCAUAACAUGUAUCUUUACCCCUUAAUCCUUCAUAAAACUUAAUUAAAGACAUAAGAGAGGCAAGGAUCUAGGCUUACCUCUUGGAGAUCUAGGAGUGACAGCAACCCCAACGUGAAGAUGAGUCAAACGGUCUCCAAAGCUAUAUCAAACCUCUAGGUGUACCCCUCCUGUCUCCUCUGAAGACAACCUCUGACCCAUCCUGACAUUUGAACUUGACUACCUUGUCUCUGCAGUCCAAGAUAGCACCAUGGGUAGAUAGCCAAUCCAUCCCUAGAAUGACGUCAAAAUCUGUCAAAUCUAGAACCACAAGGUCGGCGGAUAGGCAUCUCCCCUCAAUAAAAAUUGGACUAUACUGGCAGACUGACUCUGCCACUGACGGGUCACACUUGGGUCCACUGACCCAUAGGGGACACUCUAACCCAGAGACCAUCAAUCCCAACCUCUCGACGGCUCUAGGAGCAAUAAAAGAAUGCGAUGCACCAGGGUCCAUUAAGGCAUAAACAUCAGAACAACCAAUGAUGAGAUUACCUGACACCACUGUGUUUGAUGCAUUUGCCUCCUGCUGUGUCAUGGUGAAGAUCCGUGCUGGAGCUGAUGGACCUUCACCCCUGAAACCCGCUGAAGAAGAGUCCGCCCCUCUCCCUCUCCCUCUUCCUCUGCCACUGGCCUGAGUCGCGGCUGGAGCUACCGGCUGAGCCACACUACCAGAAGCUGUCUGCUGGGACUGUGCUACAAAGUUGCUCUAGGACACUCCCGUGCCAUGUGUCCCUCCUGCCCACAUCUGAAGCAGGCUGUCGUCCCAGCUCGGCAGACUCCCUUAUGCGACUUCUCACACCUCAUACAUACUGUAUUAUCUGCACCCGAGCUCGAGCCACCUCCUAAUCCCAGACCUGAUUUGAUCUUGUUCCAGAACUUAUUUUUCUUGGACUUCCUGGGGCCUCUGUCCCACUUUUUACUGCCUGAAGCUGCUGCACUCAAAGAAGAGGGAUCUAACUUUCCCUCACCUGGGGUCUUGGAACCAGAAGGCUGUGCCACAGACUGUUUGACUUUUCCUUCAAUGAUUGCACUAGCCUCCAUUCUCCGGGCCAUAUCCACUAUGGCAUGGAAACUCUCCCUCUCUGCUGACUAGAUCAAGGAGGAAUACCUGGAAUGGAGCCUCAUGAUAUACCUCCUUGACUUCUUCUGAUCUGUGUCCAGAUUCUGCCCAGCAAACGGCAACAGCUCCAAGAAUCUAUUUGUGUACUCAUCUACACUCAUUUCCUCCGUCUGCCUCAAUUGCUCAAAUUCAAUCAUCUUCAAUUCCCUUGAACUGUCAGGGAAAGCCCAUCUAGCAAACUCAUUAGCAAACUCUUCCCAUGAUAGGCUAUCCAACCUCGGGCUCAUAUAGUUCUUAAACCACUCUCGGGCCUUCUUGCACUUCAGUGUGAACCCAGCCAUCUGAAUGGCUCUACUGUCAUCAGCUCCUAUCUCAUCUGUAAUCAUCUUGACCCUUCCAAGAUACUCAAAUGGGUCAUCACCUGUUUCAUACUGGGGAGCACCCAGCUUCAUGUAAUCGGUCAUCUUGACCUUGCUCCCUCCAGAUGAGCUAGGCUUAGGGACUUGGGUUACUGGGAUAGUAGGUUCUGCUGGUGGCGGAGGAGGUGCAGCAUCCCCUGGGUUAGGGUUUGCUGUACCUGGAUAGAAAGAUGGGGAUGGGUAUGGCAUGUGUGAGUGAUAAGGGUUAAAACUGGGGUAAUCCGAUGUACCUCCCAUCGAAUACCCGGGAUUCUAUGAAAAGGGUGGGUAUUGGGGUGGCUGAACAAAUUCCGAGGCCUGAGUGCCUCCUUGGGACUCUCCCAUACCCUCUUCCGACAUACUCACUCCAAGACUACCAUCCCUUCUCUGAUCCACAUCCAUAUCAUCCCCCACAUCCUUUGACAUUCCUCCCUGAACUGUUCCCCUCACUGAUCUGCUUCUACCCAGAUCCAAAGACCUUCUAGGGUCUCUUACUGCUCUUUCUCUGCUGGACCUACUUGACAUUGCCCUAGGCAAUGCAGGAGGACGGGUAUCCGUGCCCUCAUCCUUGGGUGGUACUCCAGUCAAUCGUGCAGAUCGACGAGUUCCUCUCAUCUUGUUUACUGAAAAACAGCACACAUCACAUAAAACAUUAGCAUCAAAUGGUUCAUGUGAAAACACAUGAACCCGCAUCACAUACAUCACAUACAUAGCAUAUCAUUAAUGCACAUGUAUAUCAUCAUGGCAUUUCACAUCAUCAUUCAAGACAGGACUCUACAUCCUAUCCUAGUGGACAUGAUUUUCCUAUUGUGCUUGACCUUCUAUAACCUCUAUGAGCCCGACACACUAUAGGUCCGACCAUAUGAACCUAGGGCUCUGAUACCAAUCUGUAACGAUCCGAAAACCGGACCGCUACCGGCGCUAGGAUCCAGAUCGGUUUAAGGCCGCCGGGACCCGUAGCAAGCCAAACAUUCAUCCUGUAUACCUGUUUAAUCCCAUACAUGAUCAACACAUACAUAAAAAUUUUGAACUUUUCUUUUCAUUCAAUCUCCAAACUCAACAUGUGCAUGCACUAUUCAUAAUCAUAAACAUUAACCCCACCUUGGAGUCCUUAUCAAUGCUCCAAUGGGGUAACAUAACAUAUAUUAAGUUUGGUUUACAUAAAUAUCAUUAAAAUCAUGUAUUCAAAAGGGACUAACAACAUACUAGGGUCAAGCACAAUUCUAUCCUCAAUAACACCAUUACAUUACAUAACUAUUUAAUACUAUUCAUUACAUUAUUGUACUAAACAUUACAAUUCAAUAUUUAUCAUGUCCACUACUAGCUAUUACAUGACCAUGACAUUACUCUAGCUGACCUCCUGGUCUAUCCCGUACUUGCAAACCUGGGGAAUUAAGGGAGUGGGGUGAGCUACUAGAGCCCAGUGAGCAGAAUAGUAAAACAUUGUAUUUAAAACAUGUAAUAUCAUGGAAUGCAUCACAUCACAAACAAAUCACAUCAAGGAUGAACUUGUCACCAUUUAGCCCUCUAUAUAGUCUAAUUAUGCCAGGGGCGUAGUGCAGGCACGCCUGAACUUCCAUAUCAUAUCAUACAUAUCCAAUCAUGCCAGGGGCGUAGUGCAGGCUCACCCGAACUUUCUCUUACAUAGUGCCAGGGGCAUAGUGCAGACACGCCUGGACUUCCAUAGCAUAUCAUCAUUAUAUCAUGUCAUAACAUAUGAGGGCUAAUGGAUCAUUCAACAUUCAUCCACAUCGACAACGUAAAAUGCAAUGCAACAUAUUCGUGAAUUCUAAUGCAAGCACCCUAAUAUAUCUCAUUGCAUUCAUGAUGCGUGAAUCAUGCUAUAACUUUCAUUACUUACUUUGAAAUAUAAAGAGUUAUUCCACUCACCUUAGGCUAGCUCUGACAAGACACUGAAGCAGUCGUCUCACUGCUGAGGUCCUCGGUUCCUCGGGUCCGAACCUACACAGGUGGACUCAAAUGAGGGACCUAAUAUACAUGAACAUGACUCUAAAAUACUCCCCAAAAACCCCCCCUAAAACACCUCAAAACAAUCAUAGAAAACAUGCAAAGGAGGGCUGCACAGGGCACGGCCGAAAGUCCCUUCGGCUGCCGAACCUGAGUUCUUCCCAAAGGGCAGAAACUCAGCCUCCAACAUGCACAAAUGCCUCCCAAACUUCACAACUCAACCAAAGCAUGCAUAAACACUUCCACAACAUACAUACAUUCAUACAAAAGCUCCUAGGGGCUUCAAACUAUCCUAAACCCCAACUACAACACAUCAAACAUACACAAACAACCCACAUUGCACAAUAACUCAACAUAGACCUAUACAUGCAUUUCUACCCCAUGAAUCAACUUAAAACUUGUUUAAACAUAUAAUGAGCUCAAGAUCGACUCUUACCUUUUGAAGAUCGAGAGAGAGUGUGACCUAACUUGGAGGUUUGGGGAAGAUGGGUUUCUGAGGUCUCCAAGCUUCACAACUUCGAUCUAAGCUCGAAAUCUUCAAAAACCAAGUUAAAAUCCAUAAGAAAUCAUGAAAACUCGAAGGAAGAAGCUCAAAAUCAACAAGGGACGGCGGAGAGCUCACCUUGGCCGAAAAUGGGAAGAAAAGCUCACCCGUUUCGGACAAGGGACCUCUUUAUAGGUGGCUGGCCAGGCCACUUUCGGGGGCCUAACGUGCCUCCGCAUGCAUGCCAUGUUCGGCGGCCGAACUUAAGGUUCGGCGGCCGAACCUGGACUUCCCUCACUUAUGCCUUCGGGGGCCUAAAGUGCUCCCGAAGCGCAUGCAUGUUCGGCGGCCGAACCUGGACUUCCCUCACUUAUGCCUUCGGGGGCCUAAAGUGCUCCCGAAGCGCAUGCAUGUUCGGCGGCCGAACCUGGACUUCCCUCACUUAUGCCUUCGGGGGCCUAAAGUGCUCCCAAAGCGCAUGCAUGUUCGGCAACCGAACUUGAGGUUCGGCGGCCGAACCUGAGUCUUCCUCCAAGGUUAUUUUCAUUCAAAACUUAAUUUCUUUCUUGCUUAAAACCAUAAAAUACAUUAAAACAUUUUAUAAAAAACAUGAUUUUACCCUUCUAGAGGUUUCCGACAUCCGAGGUCCCACCGGACGGUAGGGAUUCCGAUACCGGAGUCUAGCCGGGUAUUACAUAGACUGUAACUCAUAAAUAAUCAGUUUGUUACUGCCUGCAUUGAACCUGAUUUUGAGGACAUCCCAAAACUCUUUGCUUGUCUUGUGUUGCAAUAGAUUUGGACGGAGCUUUUGCUUUACUGUCUAGAUCAUCCAUCCUCGGACAAUGCUAUCACUGACUUGCCAUAGGUGAAUAGCCGGGUCUGUUUCUACUAGAGGAAGGGGGAUCCCAGUCAAGUGGUUUAAUUUUCUCCUCCCUGUAAUAAACAUAUCCAUUGUCUUUGCCCAGACGAUAUAAUUGGAGUCGUUCAACUUCACAUCGGACUACGGUUGUGCUGAAUCAAGAGUAAUUUGAUUUGUUGAUUUCUGAAUUGCAUUUUAGCUAUUCUAAAUUAACAGAAAGAGUUUGUUUAACAGAUCUGCUAUUAGAUCAGUUAUUGCUUAGGAUUGAUCGACUGGACUUUGGUUAGAAGAAUCGGUCAUUGUUGUUUCUCGGUUAGAGAAGAUUGGGAAAUGUAUUCUUGCAAAUGAUGAUUGCAGGAAAAAUUGGAUAAAUUUUUAAAUCGAAACCCGCUCUGAUACUAUCUAGAAUUAUAGGAAGAAAAGUAUUUUUCAUUUUUUUGCUUUCUAUGUAAUAUGAUACAAAAAUUAUAUAAUACAAGAUAUGAUGAAUUAUAUCUAUAAUUAUAUACAUUAUCAAUUAUUGUCUAGAAUCAUAUUAGGAUUAUGCCGAGUAUGGUAAUGUUAAUUACUAAUUAAUUAGAAUUAUGGCACAAUAUUUUUUACCCACUUUGGUUUCUUAUUUCUGAAGCAAACAAUCUUACCUUUAGACAAAAACAAAGAUUCAACAAUCGAAACAGAUGUGAAGAAGCCAAAAAGGAAAGCUGGAAAGAGAAACACAGGCUCGUCUUCCCAAAAUCUAUCAACUAUAAUUAAAAUUAUUUGACCGUUGCCAUAUGCAUGAUCUUAUUUUUCAACACCGGGACCAUGCCACCUUUCCAUGACUUUGAAAUAUUUACUUAAGGUGAAUCUUCUUUUCUUUCACCUGAUUAAAAUUCUUCGCAUGUUGGCUUAUAUUCUGCAUUUCUUUUUGCGACCCUGUAGCUCAUUCAGCUGAGAUUAUGCUUUUAUUGCUUCCCUUUUCUAUUUCCACCUGAUGAUAGCUUCCAAAGCUGACAACGAUAAAGACACCAUUUUUGAAAUUAUUCUCAGUGCUCAUCACAUGCAUUUGUAGUGUAGGAGAGCAAAAAUUCUGCUGGGAAUGAGACAAAACGCAUCCAUUAUAACCAAUCGCCCAAUCCUUACAAAGGUUAUCCAGUUUAAAUAAUUGCAGUUUAUUGUCUGAUUAUUGAUUUAUAAAAACUACAAUUAUUGAUGGCUUUAAUACUAAUGCUGCCAUCUUUCAGGGCCUGACAACCUCAGGACCAUCCACGUGUCAGGUGAUUAUCGAAUAGGGGCAUGUAAUUAUGGAGAAAUUAUUGCAUCUCUAAUUAAUUCCAUGUAAUAAUAUACACAAAUUGCAAAUUAAUUGCAAAAUCAUAAAUAAUUUUUGAUAUUUUCCUUUUUUUUUAUUCAAUAGUUAGUUAGUCUUAAUUCGACAUGAAUAUAAUUUCUGCCAGUGAUCUGAUUUCUUCCUUGGGGCCUUCAGAGCACACGUCUGCGAAAGCGUACGAGUAUGCUGUGCUUACGCAUGCUGCGAUUUUCUUACAGUGGCAGAGGAGGUUUCUUCUCCCACCUGACGUCAACGGACAACUUUCUAUAAAUGUGAUUUAUGAUAUUUCAGCAAUUUCACAAGAACAAUUUCUACCACGAGCUAAAUAUUGCAUUAUUUUUACUAUCUGCAUCACUCCACAUUUCAUAGCCACGCAUAUUAAUUUUUUUUUAAAAAAAAUAAUUUGAUUAUAAUUUUAAGAUCAAAACUGUAUAAUUUUAGAACUGAUUUUGAUGCCAUUUAUAUGAAAGUUGAUUAAAUCUGUCUCUUAUCACUAAAAUUAUUAUAAGAAAUCUUUCCUUGGAGCAACUAUGCAUAUGCAUGGUAGUAAUUCGUGCCAAGUUGAAACGAGUGGUGCCAAUGCACGUCAAUUUCAUGAAAUUAUACAACAAGACAUAGGUAGUGACUAGAUCUUUACACAAACGGAGACGUAAAAUAUGAGAAGACAAGAAGAAAUAGGCGAAAAUGCAGAUAAAUUGACAAGUUGGUCCCGCAAUAUGAGCAAAAGCAAAAACUUGGAUUUUGGGAGUGGGUUCUGAAUCCUGGCAUAAACUUUCACGCUUGAAAGUAAUAACAUAACGCCUACAUUUGGCCUCGCUCUCAGUCUUUGGGAACCUAAACAAACUAUCAAACUCUACGUUUUCAGCUAUUUUCUCUUCAAACAUCAUCAUUCUCACGUGGCCAAAUAUUCCACUAAGCACCAGUUUAAAGGGACCAUAAAUGAACCUCACUCUCACUGGCUGAUGGAAAAAGGAAAACGAGAGAAAAUAAUGAAACCAACUCAUAUGAAAGCGUAAAAGCAAAGCUUGUAGACUAGGAGGGCGUGCAGGCAUAGGCUCUUAAAACGCUGCGCAUCUAGAUAUAAUAAUAAAAGAAUCAUAGGGUGGUGAGCAGAGAAAGAACUGAAGAGGAAAAAACUUGGGUAGGCAAGGCAUAGUUUUUGCAGUUUCCAUGUGAGCAGGGUACCAAAUUAAGCAUUCAUUAAGUAAAGGUGAUGUCAAAAUAAUCCUUGGCUUUAAUUUUUAUUAGCAUUGCUUGUUGAACAAGGCGUGUCAGGACUGAGUAUGUAGCUCAGAGACCGACUACACUACUACAGUGAAUGAUCUCAUUUUGGACUUAAGAGUGUGUCAUGCAUGUGAAGGAGGCAUCUUCAUUCUUCAGUCUUCACCCCCACCCACGUGCAUGCAACUCUUCCUUCUUCUUCUUCUUCUCUCUUAGUCAACCCCUCCUUUUCUACAAUGGUUUUUAGCCAGUCUCGAUUGCUUAAUCGAAAUUGAAAAAUUAUGAGAUUUAAAAGGUACAGCAAGAUUCCUUACAUGUCACCCAUCAUUUGAUUCACUUUCUCAGCAUCGAAGUUUGGGUUAAUUUCGAGAUUUCGAAUGGAAUUCUUUAUUUGGGUAGCCUGCUGGCUCAUCAUUUGCAGUGAGGUCUACAUCAUGCAUUGUCCAUGUCCUUGUGGACCUGAAUUUCUUGAGCUCUUAAUAGGGAGUAGGGGCUUAAUUGAUUCCUGCAUACUGUCAUUCAUAGAAAAAGGAUAUGCAACAAAAUGAUUCUGGGUAAUUAUAGCGAAAAGCUGUUCUUAAAAUGGACUCCUACGGAGGCCAAUGAAUGAUUAAGAUGAGCUCGUGUAAACCAACGAAUUUGGAGAUGGAGAUUUGGAUAAAAUGAGCUUGUAAAGUACAAACUAAACCAUCCCCCGGUGAUGAUGUGGGAUGAAGAAGCUAAGCUUGAUAAUGGGCUGGUUGCAGAGGAAAACCCAAACCAAUGGACCAAUGGGCCUGAACAGUUACAAAUUGUUAGGGCCGCUGGUCCACCAAGAUGAGGAAAGUAGUUGAAUUACCAGCGAACCUCAGCUCUGAACUAUCAGUCGAACGGCCCAUAAUCCACUUUGCAAAAUGAUGGCAGAAACAACAUGAUGCUUUUUGAGAAAUGAGAAUGGAGAUGGAGAAAUUAUAUAGCAGUAUAGUUGUAUUAUGUAGAUAAUUUUACAUGGUAUAUAUAAUAAAUUAAUUAAAAUUAGAUAAAUAGACAAAUUAACAGUUUUUUAAUAAAAAGAUAAUUAUUUUUAUAUAAAUAUCUUUAUCUAUCUAUUUAUUGUACCAUAUAAAGAUCCUAAUAAUUUUUCAAGUACAAAAAAACUUAAUAAUUUUUCAAAAGUGUUCUGAUAUUAUAGGAAAAAAGGUAUAGGAAAACUUUUAUAAGCAUAUAGGUGUAUAUAUAUGGAAGAUGAUUUAACAGGGAUUUUUAUAAUUAACAUGAACUUCAAAGCAGUAGCACUCAGUCGUAAGCAGUAGCACUCUGUCGUAAGCAGUAGCACUCAGUCGUAGGCAGCAGAAUAUGGAGAUGUAAAUCCAUUUACAUAGCCCUCUUCGUUCCAUUAUUUUUCAUACAUAACACUAUUCACAUUACGAAACCCUUCAUUGAUCUCUCUCACAAAGCCAUAACCCAGCAGAAUUUCUCUUGCUAUAUAUAUAUAGCUAUUACCUUUAGGAUCUCAUGCAUCUGCACGACCUUGCUUCUCUUGCUGGCUUGGCCCUGGAAAUAAGAGAUAAUCUGUUUCUUUUUCAAAAAUCUCCUCUACUUCUUUCGCUGGCACACCAAAGGUUAAUUCUAUUGCCUCGCUCUUCAUCUUAUUCACAAUAUUAUUUUUCCCUGAAACAAGCAUGCAUACGUCAAAACUAUAAUUUAAGCUACUAAGGCACACGAAGGAUCAUCUGAGCUUACCUGCAAGAGGAUACUUAAUGUUGCCUUUGGCAUUGGUUCCAAAGCAGACUGCUAUUAGAUCAUUCUUUCUUGAAGCUACCAUAGCGAUCGGAUAGCCAGCAGGGGAGACGAUCACCGACCCAUGUCUCAACGAUGAGCUUAGUUUUUUAUUAGUUGGACCUGUCUGUACGCUGCUUUUAGUCCGAGGACCAACCAUUUCGAAGUAGCCCUCACCAUCCAAAACCAUGAUUAUUGCCGUCGACUCUGAGUUGUAUAAGGGUCCGAGCAUAGAUCCCUAUGAACAGUAAAAAAACAGAUUGGAAUUUCAUGAAUUUCUUCGCACUUUUAAUCAAUUUGUCCGAAAAGGGAGAUGAAUUACUUUGGUGAUGUUGACAAAGCCGACACCAAUGUCAAGGUCUUCAAGCGCUCUGUACUCAGUAGGGCUCACAUAAAAAAUCUGACCGUAGUUGUUAUGAACAAGAGGUUGCAUGUCCAAAAGAUUGAAGGGGGCGGUUGAAUUGCCGCGACCUUCCUCUUCUUGGCUUAGCGCUUGGAUCUGUUCCUUGGAGGCUUUCACAAUGACUUCUGUGUGAUCAGUAGACAUGAUAUGCUCCAACAUCUCCUUGUCAGUCUGGUUGAUGCCCAGAUUCAUGUCAAACAAAGGCUCCAUUAGCAAUCUAAGGACAUCAUACGGAAGUUGAGAUUAAUUAACUACAGGCACACACCUUAAGAGCAGCCUCUAGCAACUCCGGGCUCAAUGCGCUAUAAAAUGAAGCUUCACCGGCUGAGGCGGCAUAGAAAGGCUGCAUCAUGAAACUAUUAUAUUUACACUGUAUGCAUGAGAAAAUUCCAAACUAUAUACAAUAGAAACUUCGUAGCAAUCAUCAGCUAUGGUCGUUUAAUCGUUUGAAAAUUCCAUUUGAAAAUCUUAUUAAUAAAGAAAUUAUAGCGUAAACUUACGGUGUACUCGCUCGGAAAAUUUACAGUUUUGAGGAGACAGACAGUACGAAGUUCAUCAUUUUCGUCCGUAUUAAUCCAAUAGACAGUAGUGCCUGCUUGAACUCUAAUGACAUCUCCUCUUUCAAUGUUAAAGCUCUCUCUCUUUUCCCCAAUAAGAGUUAUAGCUCCUCGACCUAUAUUAUAACAUGGUGAAUAUAUAAGUUCAUGAAACAGCAGAGUACAAACAAGUAUCCAUGGAAAAACAUUGAUUGGAAAAUUUUAUAUACCUCUAGUCACAACGAGAACUACUUCGGCAUCGAAGUGGGUCGGAGUUAAAAAUGUUAGAGGAUUAGCUUUAGCAGCGGCAACACGAAAAUUCUCGAUUCCACUUAGAAGCUUUGAUCUCUCAGAGAACUUUUGAAGAGAAUAAAUGGCUCCAUGUUCAUUCUUGAACAUUGGAGUGAAAUCCUCUACAUUAAAAACGUAAGGGUUCUCAUCUUCCUCGUCAUAUUGACGUUGGUGUUCCCUUUGGUGCUUGAACUGCUUUGGCUCUCGGUCUCCUGUAGCUAUACCUAAGACAGAACCAAAGGAAAGGAUUAAAACAGCUAAACAAAGAUUCCAUCUGGUGGCCAUUUUAAUUACAGGAUCAUUAACUUGUGCCUCUCUCUCGAUGCAAGAAGUGGAGAUGGGCAUGGCGUUUUAUAGUGUAGCAAGGAAGAAAUAAAGAAGGCUAGCUCUUCGUGCAUGGAGACGAAGGUACCUACAUGGAACAGAGAGGGGCAACAACUUUGGAAUUACUUUAAGUUGCGUUCUCGCUCGGAUUAUCAACCUAACGCUCUUGAAUUAAUAAUUUGCUUAUGGGAGAGAGAUGGCAAAGAAUACAAAACUUUUCCUUUUUCUUCUUCUCUUCUUUUUGCCUUGGCAAGAAAGGAAAACUUCAUAAAUCCAGCGGCGGAGAAGUGACGAGAGUGGUGGAUGGAACUGUAAAUAGAAUCUAUGUCAGCUGUUUGUCGUGAUGUUUUAUCUGGGUAGGUUAAUUUAAUUUGCUAGUUCCACACUUAGGUGUUUAGUAGAAUACAACUCUGGAAACAGACAAAUUUACACGUUAGUGUUCGACACGCGUCAGUCGAGUCAUUAACUAUUCAAGUUUAUCUAGGCGUGAGCAUUGGGUUAACCAAUCUCAACAGCAUCAGAAACUUUGUGUGGUGAGUAAGUGAGGCUAAAAUCUGUAUCCGAAUAUGAUUGGUUUAGGGGUAUCACGUUCAUCUUGGUAUUUUUUGGCUGAUGUCCCAUCAGAUUGGACAGUAGUGUGUUGUGACAGAUAUGUCAGGUGACUUAUUAAUAGUGAGCAAUCGGCUAAUAAAUAUUAAAUCGGUUAGCCUAUACCAUGUUCAUUACGGGUGUCAUGUCUGUCAAUUCUAUCGCACACGUAAUUAUAAUCCUAAUAAUGACCCACGAGCUUCAGAGAGGUAUGCUCGUUGACUCCAGACUUUGAAGUGGUUGACCUGCCUAAUCUGAACAAAAGUAAGGUCUAAGGUGUAGGAGGUUUGAUCUUUAUAUCCCCUGAUUCGAACUUUCUAAUGUUCAAUCGGAUCGGAUGAAACGAUACAUAGAGUCUUUCCAUAUCGUGUGUCCACAUGUAGCGAUCCUAAUCAGCUAUGUUAUUCUUAUGUUAUCAGAUGUCCUUUCGCUUCUCCGAAUGUUAUUUAUGAUGGUUGGAGGAUCGAAUCAUAUUCAACGCUUUAUUGCUAAAUGUGAGUCCAUUAAUUUUCUUUGAGUUGUGAGGAGCAAUCAUAAGUAUGCAUGACACGAGCGCGCGACGUCCCAGAAGUGUUUUGAUGGCUAUUGUUGUUUGGGUUACCAAAAUGUGAUGCUUUGAAUGUUCAUUAAUGCCUAAUUUCAAGUAUAAAUAUAGGGUUUUGCCUUUACUUUUUUACUUUUGCUGCUCCUGUUGCACUUGCACACUAUUCUUAGGGUCAUCCUCGUUUCUUCCUUCUUCUUCCAAACUUUUCGAGUUACAAGUAUGCAUCCCUCCUUCGAUGGCUCCUCUGUCACACUCUCAGGUUGAGAAAAUAGUUUCUAGGGUCACCUCCAUCUAUCUUUUGGAAACUUUCCCCGAGCCUUCCUCUCUACGGAGACCCAUUACAUUCGGGCUUCAAAAUUCCAAUGAACGGAUUGCCUUAUUCUCCUUCCCUCAUCCUCCUAACCUAAUGGAUGCCUAGUCCGAGAGAAAACUUGUUUUCUAUUUGAAACAGAUUGAUUCUGACCUUUCUUUCCCAUUUUAUGGGUUUGUUCAUUCCGUCUUUAGGUUUUUCCAGGUCACGCCUCGAAUGCUGACCACAAAUUUAAUUCUAUUCAUAAGUGCCUUCGAGGCAAUGUGCCGGAGUUGGGGCUUUGCUCCUUCCUUAGGUCUAUUCUGAGCCUUCUUCAAGAUUUUAAAGGCCAACAAUGUUUCUUGAACUUCUGUGGUAGGAAUGGGUUAGCCAUUUUCACCGGCUAUAAAGACUCCAUCAAGCACUGGGUGGAGCAUUUUGCUAUAGUGGGAUUCAAGGGGAGCUUCAACUGGGGCUUAGAGCUAGGAUGGGGGGUUGUUGACACUUUUUGCAACUCUUUCGGAACAGUUGUAUUUUACCAGAAUUACUUUCCUGCCUUUCAAAUACGAUGUCUUCAAGUGUUUGGAUAUCCGCUUGGGGGAGGGUUGUUAUUCUGCUAGUACUGAUCAUUUUUCAUGUCGUUGCUUGCUUUUUAAUUGCUUUGUCAUUCUGUGUUUUUAAUUUGUUUUUGGUGCUUUUUGUAGCUUCCAUAGUCCCUAUGAAAAAAAUCUCAACACCUUAGAAUUUUUCUCUCAAUCGGGAUAUCGUCCAAGAUGCUAUUGAAGCUUUUAAAACUAGGAAGACUAUGAAUGUGGUGGUGAAGAUGCGGGAGGUGGAGCAUACCCUAGCCCAAGCCAUCCUUCCUUCGUCUUCUGCUGGGGCAAACUUGGAGCUAGCCUUAGUUGGCUCCAACCAUACUGAGGUUGUCCCUACUGUAGCCAAGGAUGCUCCUACUCUCAAAGGUAGCUCGAAGGUUGCUAUUCUGAGAGCAGUGGUCAGCCUAGAACUCGAGAGAGCUUGAAAUAAAAAAAAAAUUCUCGUUUCAAUCAGGAGACGACCACUGUUGCUGCACAGACGAACAACAAAAAGAGAAGGCAAGUAAAGGAGUUUGACCUGGUCCCCUCCCGAAAGGGAGCUUCGUCUUCCUUACUUCUAAGAAAACCUUCACCGAACAAAGCAAGUAAAAGCAAGGGUAAGGAAAGCUCGUCUUAGGGGGGCUAGUGAUGAACUUUCAACCGCCUUGAUUUCCAACGAGUCAGGGGUACAUUUUCAACUGACUCUUUACUCCACACCUACUUCUAUUGUCAAGCUGCUUAGUAAUAAUGUCUUUGGCCGUAUUCGAAUCCGACUAAUCCUCAGAUGGCGAGCAUAGUUUGCAGAGUAAUUUAGUACAUUAAGCAGUCGACUUCGUUUACUGCCCAGACAAGAGAGAAUCUUUUUGGUGCCUCUAAAAGACAAAUCCUUCUUGUUAGUUUUCUUACUUUACUCUUGCUUUGAAAUUUUUGGUCAUUUUCUUAUUUAUCGUUUUGCCAUGUAGUUUCUUAAUGCUCUAGUAGAGUUGGGGAGCAAGAUGGUCAGAUCUCGAGAAGUUGCCCUCCAUGACAUCGAGAAGGCUAAAGAAGAGGAAGCUACGCGCGUAACUGUUGCGCUAAAAAGUGCCAAUUGAUGAACUGAGAUCUGGGAGGUACAAUGAGAUGGGUAUCCAUGAACCAAAGGUUUGAUUCGCAGGGAAGUUAAUAGAUCUAGUUAGGUGAUUGAGAGUUAAUGGGUUCAACUUUAGUUCGUGGAUAUUGAGGUUUGAAGAAGGAUCUGUAUGUGUGGUGAAUUUGUGAGGCUAAAAUCUGUCCCCGAAUGCGAUUGAUUCAAGGGUAUUUAUACCUCAAUCAUCUUGGUAUGUUCUAGCUUACGUCCCCUUAGAUUGAACAGUAACGUGUUGUGGCAAAUAUGUAAGGCGACUCACUAAUGGUAGACAAUCGUUUAAUAAAUAUUAAGCCAGUUAGCUCAUGCCCUGUUCAUCGCGCAUGUCAUGUUUGUUAGUCCUAUCGCACGCACAAUCAUGAUCCUAAUGAUAUACCCCGUGUUUUAGAGAGGUCUACUUGUUGACUCCGAACUUUGAAGUAAUCAAUUUGUUUAGUCCAAGCAAAAGUAAAGUCUAAGGUGCUAGGUUUUGAUCUUUACAUCACUUGGUCUUGACUUUCCAAUGCUCGAUCGGACCGGAUAAAACAAUACAUAGAGUUUUUUCAUAUCUUGUAUUCACGUGUCGCGAUACCAAGGAAUCCUAUUAUUCUUAUGUUAUCACCUAAUAUUCUGAGACUAAUAUUAGAGUAAGAAACGGCUGGCCAUAUGUGCACUGGCUACGCAACAAAAGAAGGCAAAUUAUACCUAAAAGUUAAAAGGUAAGAUGAUAUGUUUCCUUGCUCCGAUUCAAAUAUAAAAUAAUAAAUUUAAAUACAAAGUAAUUUAUAGAAAAGUAAAUGAAAAAUUGUAUUAAAAUCUUUUAAGUAAAAAUUGAGAAAUGUUUCAUUCUCUGGUCUGAGUAAAAGAUACUUGAAUUAAAGAGAGAAAGCAAGAAGAGAGAAUAGGAGACAACGUUGUUUUCUUAGGAGACAACGUUGUUUUUUUUUGCUCGACUUCUUUUGUUGAACACGGAAUAGGCUGCUUGCCUCGGCCCGUCCUCAGUUUGGGAUAGUUUUUUCAAGGGUUUGUUCACUGAUUUUUUUUUGUGAGACUCGCGUUUUGAAUGUGAGCGAUCCUUUCCUCUGGUUAAGAUAUUUAAAGAUAUAGUGAGUAUUUAGCCUAUUCGAUUUUAAAUCGAAUUAAAUUGUUUAAAUUAAAAAAUUAAUAUUUUAAUUAUUUAUAAAAAUCGAAUCGAUUUUAAAUAAAAAUCAAUUUAAAUCAAAUUAAUCUGAUUUAUUUUGAUUUAAUUCAGUUUGAUCUAUUAAAUUAUUUAAUAAAUUUUUUAUUUUUUAUAUUUUAUUUUUAAUUUUUAAAAUUUAAUUAAAAUAUUUCAAUUUUAAUUAUAAUUUAAUUUUUUUAUAUUAUUAAAAAUAAUAUAUAUUACUAUUAAUCGAUUAAAUAAUAAUAUAUAUUACUAUUAAUUGAAGUUUAAUCGAUUUUAAAUUAUCGAAUCGGAAUAACUAGAAUAAAAAAAAUCAAAUUAAAAUAUUAAAUUAAUAGUACUCGCGUCUAAAAUAUUAGCUACCCAUGAGAUUGGUAUUUGAGUUACGCUUGCUUUUCAUUAGCAAUGGAAUCAUGGGUAAUUUAGACGGCAACUGCCAUGGACCGAUUCCCUAACUGAUUAGUGGCUACUUUUCUAUGCAUCAUUAUUUUGACUGGAACUGUAUAUAAAUAUAGUUAUUAAUACAAGUAGUAUAUAAAUGUAUCUAAUAAAAGUAGUAUAUAAAUGUAUACAUUAUCUUAAAUUAAUGUAAAUAGCAGUCGUUACUUGCCAUACAUUAUUCAUACACAUGAAUAAGAAAGAACACGAGGAUGUAAAAUCCAUAUUUAUUAUUAUAUUAUAUAUAUUAUAUACUCUUCUCCCUUCCAUUAUUUCAUCACAUAUACAUCACAGUAUUCACAUUACAAAACCCCACAAAAUCAAGCCUUCUGUCGGUUAGCCUUCACCACCUCUCCCCCUCCCAAAAGCAUUAAACCCCAGAAGGCCUCAAUUUUGCUUUCACAUGCUCAUGCAUCCGCGCGACCUUCCCACUGGCGCUCCCUCGGUCCCGGGAAGAACCACUGUCCACUUUGGCUACCGAAAACUUGGUCUACUUCUCUCUCUCGCACACCGAACGCCAACUCCUUCGCUUCUCUCUCCAUCUUAUUCACAAUAUUAUUUUUCCCUGCAAACAUACAUCAAAUAAAACCAGCAGCACACUUCAAUUCAAGCUACCGAGACAUAGAAAAUUAAGCUUCAUUUGAUUGAUCCAGGAGGAUACUAGAUCAGUUACCUGCAAGAGGAUACCUAGUGUUGCCUCUGGCAUUCACCUCGAAGCAGAGUACUUGAAGAUUACUGUUCCGUGAAGCUACGGAAGCCACCGGAUGUCCGGCAGGGACAACGAACACGGUGCCACGUCUCAAGCGCGAGCUUAUUUUCUGAUAAGUUGAGCCGGUUUGCGAUUCUCGGCCAACGUGAGGACAAGCCAUUUCAAAGUAGCCCUCACCGUCCACAACAACAGCUACCUUGGUCGCUCUCGAAUUGUAGUAGGGUCCAAUCAUAGAUCCCUGUACAUAUACACAACACAAUUUCAUGAAUUAUACAUCCUAUUCGAGUUGACGGAUAGGAAGGAAUUGAAAGGGAGAGAGAGAUACUCGUGUGAUAUUGGCAAAUGAGACACUUAUGUCAAGGUCUUCAAGCUGCUGCUCAUAAUACCUACGAUCCACUUCGUAAAGCUGACCGUGGUUGUUGCUUUGAACAGGGCGCUGGUGUAGAAGAUUAUAUGGGCCGCUUGAUUCUCCUCUAAAUGGCCAGAUGCCGCCACCUUCCUCACGCUGGCUCAUACCUUGGAUCUGUUCCUUGGAGGCUUUUGUAAAGAUCUCUUGGUUCUGAUUCAAUAUGCGCUCCAACUUCCUCCUGUCGGUCUGAAUUGAUGCCAAAAUGUCCAAACAAAGACCCAGUUAGCUUACUUGGAUAAAAGACAACCCAUUAAACAUAUAGAAGUUCACAGUAGCUCUUGGCACACACCUUAAGAGCAGCCUCCAGCAAUUCCCAGCUGAAUGCGCUGUAAAAGGACUCGUGAUCUUGACUACCUGGUGCCCUGAAAGCCUGUAUCAUGAAACCCGUUAUAAAAUGACCCAGGCUUUUGAUUUGCUUGCAAUUUGCAUAAUCUAAAUAAAAAGCUUACAAACGAAUCUUAGUGGGAACUUACCUCGGUUUCGCCGGGAAUAUUGACAGGUCUCAGGAAAGCGACAAUGAAAAGCCGCUCAUCUUCGUCCCUGUUAAUGACGUAAACAGUAGUGCCUGCACUAACCCUCAUGACAUCUCCUUCUUCGAUGUUGAAGCUUCGUCUCUUUUCCUCUUGGAUUCCAGUUAUAGUUCCCCGUCCUACACCAAAAUCAAUAAAACCGAUAAACUGAGUACGUAUCAAUAUCAAAUAUAGUAUAUAGUCUACUGCAAACAUAUGUUCAUACCACUAGCCACGAAAAGAACAGCGUGAGAGUCCCAAUGAGUUGGAGAUACAAAUGUUUGAGGAGCUGCUUCAACCACGGCAACACGGUAAUUCUCAAUACCACGUAGAACUCCCGAUUCCUCGGUGAACUUCUGGAGAACAUCGAGUCUUCCAUGUUCACUCCGCGCUUUUGAGGUGAAAUGACGCUCCUCAAAAACAUAAGGGUUCUCUUUUCUUCCCUCUUUCUCCUCUUCUCUUCCAUGAUGUUCUUUUUCAUACCUCAUUCGGCACCACUCACAUGGGCGUUCAUACAACUCCUGCAUUUUUUCAUCGCG
Molecule: long non-coding RNA, 20520 nt
Filed under: Manihot esculenta (cassava)
Lineage: Eukaryota; Viridiplantae; Streptophyta; Magnoliopsida; Malpighiales; Euphorbiaceae
Description: long non-coding RNA (MESC_LNC002704)
Source: RNAcentral